UGCCUAACACAUGCAAGUCGAACGGCAGCACAGGUAGCAAUACCGGGUGGCGAGUGGCGGACGGGUGAGUAAAGCAUCGGGAUCUACCCUGACGUGGGGGAUAACCUCGGGAAACCGGGACUAAUACCGCAUACGUCCUACGGGAGAAAGCGGGGGACCUUCGGGCCUCGCGCGGCAGGACGAACCGAUGUGCGGUUAGCUAGUUGGCGGGGUAACGGCCCACCAAGGCGACGAUCGCUAGCUGGUCUGAGAGGAUGAUCAGCCACACUGGGACUGAGACACGGCCCAGACUCCUACGGGAGGCAGCAGUGGGGAAUAUUGGACAAUGGGCGCAAGCCUGAUCCAGCAAUGCCGCGUGUGUGAAGAAGGCCUUCGGGUUGUAAAGCAC
Molecule: ribosomal RNA, 388 nt
Filed under: uncultured organism
Description: bacterial SSU rRNA
Rfam family: Bacterial small subunit ribosomal RNA
Source: RNAcentral